CUACGGGUUGCACCAGUGAGGAAUUUUGCGCAAUGGGGGGAACCCUGACGCAGCAACGCCGCGUGAGUGAAGAAGGCCUUUGGGUCGUAAAGCUCUGUCAACAGGGAAGAAGUUAUUUCAUAUAAAUAGUGUGAGAUAUUGACGGUACCUGUGAAGGAAGCUUCGGCUAACUCCGUGCCAGGCAGCCGCGGUAAUACGGGGGAUGCAAGCGUUAUUCGGAAUUAUUGGGCGUAAAGGGCACGCAGGCGGCCUUGUCAGUCAGAUGUGAAAGCCCGGGGCUCAACCCCGGACGUGCAUUUGAAACAGCAAGGCUUGAGUACGGUAGAGGGAAGGGGAAUUCCUGGUGUAGAGGUGAAAUUCGUAGAUAUCAGGAGGAACACCGGUGGCGAAGGCGCCUUCCUGGGCCUGUACUGACGCUGAGGUGCGAAGGCGUGGGUAGCGAACAGGAUUAGAUACCCCGGUAGUC
RNAcentral lists this ribosomal RNA (466 nucleotides) under uncultured bacterium. Its description in RNAcentral is "partial 16S ribosomal RNA". It matches the Rfam family "Bacterial small subunit ribosomal RNA", at positions 339 to 795 of the family's 1533-position model. The record is from RNAcentral.